UUUGCAACUGCCACCCCCAGGGCUUCCCGCAGGCACGCAACACCUUGCAGGUCCUCUCUCUGUGAGCACAGACUAUGUCCUCUUUGUGUUAACCUGAAGUAUUAGCUUUGACAGCUGAUACCUGGCAUUUGCAAGGUAAAGCCAGUGUUAAUUAAUGAGGCAUAUUUUCAACUCUCUGUUAACUAAAAAGAAAGUCAUCAUAUUCAAAAAUGGUCAUGAUGACAACUCAUCGCCAGGAGGAGAGCCAUGGGGAAGGUUUGCAACAUCCUUACUAUAAAAGUUAUAAAUUGAAAUAAUGAUGACAUGGAAUAAAAGGAGAAACCAAAAGCAGGAAAAUGUGGAAACAUGUUCAAGGAGGAAGAACUAACACAGUCAUUUGUGUUGAGCCUCUUGACGGCCAAGCAAAACUUAAGGAAGUGAGAACGAGACUGACCAUCCUAGAACCAAUCUGGGGACUUAGGUGCCAUGUGUCAUGUGUGAUCUGUGCGGGGCCAGCAAAGCCACAGCUGGUGGUCAGCAAAUGAAAACUAUUCCCCACAGAUCCCAUCCCCCCAGAGAAUGUCGGCAUGAUAAUUUUCCACUUCCAUCUAACUUAGCUUCCUGUUCACUGUAAGAUCUGAAUAAAUGCUUUUUCCUCAUA
RNAcentral lists this long non-coding RNA (640 nucleotides) under Homo sapiens (human). Its description in RNAcentral is "HSALNT0047964". The record is from RNAcentral. Lineage: Eukaryota; Metazoa; Chordata; Mammalia; Primates; Hominidae.